AAGCCUUACCAUUCAUUCAGAGCAGAUGAAAGCUUCCUCCCAGCUGGAAGGUGUUUGUGGCAGCCCAGUGCCCAGCCUCCCUCCCUGCCGUUCAGAGGUUGGCGUGGAUGGGGAGACCAGUGCCUGCUGGCUCUGGUAGGGGUUUCAUGAGGCAUCUGCUGAGAUCCUUGCAUGACAGGUUGGCUGGAUGGAAGACCUGCACCUUGGGUGAAGGUACUUGGAAGAGCAGCUGUGGCUCUGUGCUUUCUCAGACACGGACAGUCCCUCCCCAGGGCUUCCCUCAGCCACCAGCUCCACCAUGAGACAUGGAGGCCAAGAAGACAUUGCCUCUUCUUCACCUGCCACUGCUCUGACUGAAGAAGGACAUUCUUGCUCCAUGCUGAAGGUGUCCAGCUAAUUCCCUGGUCCUGGGGAAGUCGGUGAAGGUCGUGUGGCAUAACCUGGGUACGGCAGUUGUGCUGCCAGGCAUAAGAUUUUUUUGUGGACUGGGUAAUGACAUGGGUCUGUCAACUCCCACACACAAAGUGCAUAGCGGGAGAGGGCACCCACUUGAUUUGCCAGGACAAUUUGGAGGAGGAAUUUCCUAUUUGUGGGAGCUAAUAGCCUUUUCCAGAAGAUGGAGUUUGCAAGGGAGGAGACAGCAAAAUUCCUGACCUAAGGAGACCAAGAGUAUUCGACUCAGAACCAGGGGAAGGUUUGGUAAACUGGCUGUAAAAAUAUCCCUUGUGUAAGCAAGUCUCUGUGUUGAAAUGAAAGUGCUAUCAAAGCC
Molecule: long non-coding RNA, 769 nt
Organism: Anas platyrhynchos (mallard)
Lineage: Eukaryota; Metazoa; Chordata; Aves; Anseriformes; Anatidae
Source: RefSeq, a predicted model, not a curated record